GCCUGGGAGAAUUUCAGAACGGAGGGCGACAUUCUCCCAGUCAUUACGUGCUGUACCAGGGGGUGGCGCUGUGGCAAUUCUUGUCUACCCCUUGCGCAACUAGUGUCUCCGCCUAUCGCUCUCUGCUUACAAUACGAAAACACACAUACAUGAUUCACUAAACAGACAACUUCUCAAAGUUUUAUGAAGACAUACCAUCUUUCCCAGGUAUUAUUUGGCGCUACACUCUUAGGAACUCUUGGGCUGUCGCGUCCAACGACCCCGUGUCCGAGUAGGAGGUCGCCCCCGUUGUGCUAGUGGACAACAGCGGGCUUUGGAAACCGGCAUAACCGCACUUGGUGUUACAAGAUGGUGCGGAGAAGCCCAAAGAAAGCGUCAAAUCGAAAACCAAGGAUGCAGCGCCCGUGUCCUCUGCGUCCAGGGUGUUCUCCUAUCAGAUGGAGGAGAUGCCAGUGCCCCCUCACCAGGAGACGGCGAGGACCGCCAGAUACAUGGCCCACUACAGCGGCUGAGGAUAUCUCACCACCAUCAAGACAAGAUAAAGGGCCUUCCUUUUGGGAAUAUCUUCUCGACAGGAGUCCUCUAUUUCUACGUCACCCUGAUGGACUGUAGCAGACCUGAGAAGCUUCCCAUUCGCCUCGCUCACUUUCUCAGAGGCAGAGGGAGACUAAUGCAGGCAGCAGAUGUAUGAUCCUGAGGACCCUCGCUGUGCCAGACUGACUCUGACAGGCAAGAUGGUGGAGGUGGAGUUCGCCAAGAAGGCCAUGUUCUCCAGGUGUGUGCGCAGGGCACACUAAUUGUUCGUCCUCCCUGAACAUGUUUUGAGUGUCUGUCCAAUUGUCUCUACAUAUGUGCAAUGUGUGUGAGCCUUUGUACUUAGCAUACCUGUCUGCGUGUUUAUUGAGUAAAAUGCUCUUGCUCGUCGACACCCUGUGAUGAAGAAAUGGCCAGUGGGACACAACUGGUUCUUGAUGAAGCUGCAGCUAACCCAGGUCUGGCUCCAGGAUUGGGUCGGAGGAGUGUCACUCAUCCCCCUGGAAGACUACUUCAAAGCCACACCCUACUGAGAGGAACUUCAUCCACAAUGUAUAUGAAAUCUGCUACACCGUGUCAGAUACAACACACGGUACCAAUACAAGACUGGUGCCUCCCUGUAUGGCACAGCAGCUGUCAUCACAUUCAUCACCACAAACACAACAUAAUGGGAGGCUCUAGAACCUUCAAACUCAACUCUGGACCUAGAUGCCAGUUCCACUGUGUUUUUUCAUUGUUGCCCUCUAAUCAGGGACUGAUUUACACCUGGGAUACCAGGUGGGUGCAAUUAAUUCUCAGAUGGAACAGAAAAGGGUAAGAGUUGAAUAGCCCUGCUCUAGAAGCUUUUGUUCUGGAAUAUUUUGAAGUGAGAUGGGAAAUAUGAAGAGGGUUUAGACCUUCUCUAGGCAGAGUGUGGUCUUACCAUGGCUCAUGCAGAGUAACAACAAAUGUAAGAUGUCAUCCAGUUCAAGGGAAAGCUUCAGAAUGUGAAUAUACAGACGUAGAUAUAGAUGCCUUUAAGCAGACACUGGAGAUUGUUAAAUGUACAGAAUGAUUUACUUGCUUUGCAGAUGUUGUUUAUCCAAUGCUACCACAAAGCUUUUUCACAUAAUCUUCUGUCCAACAGCUAGACAAUGACAAACCAAAAACCUAGCUAAAACAGGCUCAUGUCUGGUGGACAAUAGAUUGACUCUGAUCUUGAGUUGUCAAGUCACAUUUCUAUUUUCUGCAUAGGUCAAAUAAUGGACAUGUUUUCCCAGUCUUUCAAUCGCGGUAUUGAUGCAGUAGCCUAAAGCUGAUAAAGUGUUAUGAUUUUUCAUUUUUAUAAUUGAACCACUGUCAAUGUAGGUAUGCUCCUAAUUAUGCACCGAUCAAAAUGCCUUUUUCUAUAUUAACUGCUUUUCAAAAAGUAUUUUGGUUGCACUUGCAGGCUAUUCUUUGAUUGCUGAAAUCUCGUGUUUCCAGUACGUCCACACUAGUCGCGGCGUUGAGUUUAAUUGGCUACACAUUAUUAAAACAAUUUUAGUCUUUGGUAAAUAAAUACUGGACCGAUUCAGUCCAAACUGCAUACAGUAUUUCUAA
Molecule: long non-coding RNA, 2115 nt
Organism: Salmo salar (Atlantic salmon)
Lineage: Eukaryota; Metazoa; Chordata; Actinopteri; Salmoniformes; Salmonidae
Source: RefSeq, a predicted model, not a curated record